Exaiptasia diaphana is the source of this 564-nucleotide long non-coding RNA. RefSeq lists it as uncharacterized. NCBI's taxonomy places the organism in Eukaryota, Metazoa, Cnidaria, Anthozoa, Actiniaria, Aiptasiidae. The transcript has 3 exons. The record is from RefSeq and is a predicted model, not a curated record.
UUGAUUGGUUGGGAAAAAUCCACAAUAAAAAAGGCGAAAGGCUACGAUAUCCUUCAGUACAGCCCAGAAACAUCAAGAGAAUCAUCGAGACUCAGUAGUUUUUGAUCUCAGCAAAAAUGCACCGUUCUUUGAUUGUGUUGAUGAUCAUUGUAUUGUUGACGACAACUCUGCAUGAAAGCGAAGGGUGGCGAAGACGAAGAAGGCGACGAAGAAAUGRUCUUACAUCCGAGGACGCCGAAGAAUUCAAGCAGAGACAAGAGAAUCGUAAACUGGCGAAUGAACGAGAAAUUUACGAAGACGACCAAUAUCAUGACCCAAAGGUUAAUUUUCACUGAACAAAAAAUCGGUCUUUGAUGUAAAUAUUUCUUGCAUCUGAGCAUAAUCAAUCAAAGCUCGAUCGGCAAUGCACAUGCAUUUUGUAUACUUUUGCUUUUUAAAACAUCUCCUACAGGAUUGUUUGAUGCAAUCCAUACAAUCCAAAAUCUGCAUUAGUUCUAAAGUAAUUAGUUGAAUUGUAAAUUAUUCAUACAACACAAAGAUAAGAAUAAAAUACUUUGAAAGACU